This 289-nucleotide non-coding RNA is filed under the name Burkholderia ambifaria AMMD. The record is from RNAcentral. Lineage: Bacteria; Pseudomonadati; Pseudomonadota; Betaproteobacteria; Burkholderiales; Burkholderiaceae.
GCGCUCCACGACUAGUUCUACAUGUUUAGUUCAGUCGUUUGAUUUAACCGCAGCGACGCGGACGAACACGCUGCACUACGGCGAUUCGCUAGAUUUUCGACCCUGGCGUCGCGACGCCGACAGGGCUUAACUGACGUAAAUGACCUCUGUCGGUAUUGCUACCGGUCUUGCGACACUAGCCCGUCAGUGAACUAGGCAGAGGACGGCGGCCGUUAGGCUGCCAGUGCGAACGUAUCGUCGUUUGCAGUUACGAUUUUCCCAUUGAUUAACGAGGUGACGGGUCCUCGAC